GCAGUGGUAGUUUGGUGGUAGAAUUCCUGAUUUUUGUGUGGGAGACCCAGAUUCGAUUCCUAGCCAAUGCA
RNAcentral lists this transfer RNA (71 nucleotides) under Loxodonta africana (African savanna elephant). It matches the Rfam family "tRNA". Rfam says of the family: Transfer RNA (tRNA) molecules are approximately 80 nucleotides in length. The record is from Rfam by way of RNAcentral. Lineage: Eukaryota; Metazoa; Chordata; Mammalia; Proboscidea; Elephantidae.